RNAcentral lists this ribosomal RNA (392 nucleotides) under uncultured Gammaproteobacteria bacterium. RNAcentral describes it as "bacterial SSU rRNA". It matches the Rfam family "Bacterial small subunit ribosomal RNA", at positions 370 to 779 of the family's 1533-position model. Lineage: Bacteria; Pseudomonadati; Pseudomonadota; Gammaproteobacteria. The record is from RNAcentral.
AAUGGGCGCAAGCCUGAUCUAACCAUGCCGCGUGAGUGAUGAAGGCCUUAGGGUCGUAAAGCUCUUUCGCCAGGGAUGAUAAUGACAGUACCUGGUAAAGAAACCCCGGCUAACUCCGUGCCAGCAGCCGCGGUAAUACGGAGGGGGUUAGCGUUGUUCGGAAUUACUGGGCGUAAAGCGUACGUAGGCGGAUUAGAAAGUUGGGGGUGAAAUCCCGGGGCUCAACCCCGGAACUGCCUCCAAAACUACUAGUCUAGAGUUCGAGAGAGGUGAGUGGAACUCCGAGUGUAGAGGUGAAAUUCGUAGAUAUUCGGAAGAACACCAGUGGCGAAGGCGGCUCACUGGCUCGAUACUGACGCUGAGGUACGAAAGUGUGGGGAGCAAACAGGAUU